AACCCCGGGAGGGGAGUGAAAGAGAACCUGAAACCUUAUGUUUACAAACAGUCGAAGUUUUUCGGAACGACGGCGUACUUUUUGUAGAACGGUCCGGCGAGUUGCAGUGACAUGCGAGGUUAAGGAGUACAGCUCCGGAGCCGAAGGGAAACCAAGUCUUAACUGGGCGUCUAGUAUGUUAAUGCAGACCCGAAACCGGGUGACCUAUCCAUGGGCAGGUUGAAGUUACCGUAAAAGGUAAUGGAGGACCGAACUCACAUCUGUUGAAAAAGGUGGAGAUGACCUGUGGAUAGCGGAGAAAUUCCAAUCGAACUCGGAGAUAGCUGGUUCUCCUCGAAAUAGCUUUAGGGCUAGCCUUGAGGUAAAGUCUAAUGGAGGUAAAGCACUGAUUGGACGCGGGUCCCCAAAAGGAUACCAACUUCUAUCAAACUCAGAAUGCCAUAUAGAUAUACUCAGGAGUCAGACUAUGUGAGAUAAGUUUCAUAGUCAAAAGGGAAAGAGCCCAGACCGACAGCUAAGGUCCCAAAGUGUGUGUUAAGUGGAAAAGGAUGUUAGGUUUCUAAGACAACUAGGAUGUUGGCUCAGAAGCAGCCACUCAUUUAAAGAGUGCGUAACAGCUCACUAGUCGAGAGGUCUAGCGCCGAAAAUGUCCGGGGCUAAAACACACCACCGAAGCUACGGAAUUACCUAUGGUAAUUGGUAGAGGAGCAUUCUGUAAGGACGAAGCACAAUUGAAAGAGAGUGUGGACGAAACAGAAGAGAGAAUGCCGGAAUGAGUAGCGAGAUAUAUGUGAGAAUCAUAUAGGUCGAAUGUCUAAGGUUUCCUGGGUAAAGCUGAUCUGCUCAGGGUAAGUCGGGACCUAAGGUGAGGGCGAGAGCCGUAAUCGAUGGACAACAGGUAGAAAUUCCUGUACUACGUAUAAUCAGAACUGUGGGGACGCAGGAGGAUAGGAAAACCGGAGAAUGGAAAUAUCCGGCUAAGUACAAAGGUGUGAGUGAUAGGCAAAUCCGUCACUAUAAGCUGAAGUACGAAUGGGAGCGAAGAAAAGUAGCGAAGUUUCUGAAUCCACACUGUCAAGAAAAGCCGCUAUUGCGUUAUACGUACCCGUACCGCAAACCGACACAGGUAGACGAGGAGAAAAUCCACAGACCGACGGGAGAAGUGUUGUUAAGGAACUCGGCAAAAUGACCCCGUAACUUAGGGAUAAGGGGAGCCAACGCAAGUUGGUCACAGAAAAGAGGCUCAAGCGACUGUUUAGCAAAAACAUAGGUCUAUGCGAAACCGUAAGGUGAUGUAUAUGGGCUGACACCUGCCCGGUGCUGGAAGGUCAAAAGGAGAGGUUAGCGUAAGCGAAGCUUUGAAUUCAAGCCCCAGUAAACGGCGGCCGUAACUAUAACGGUCCUAAGGUAGCGAAAUUCCUUGUCAGGUAAGUUCUGACCCGCACGAAAGGUGUAACGAUUUGAGCACUGUCUCGACAACACGCCCGGUGAAAUUGAAGAACCAGUGAAGAUACUGGUUACCCGCAACAGGACGGAAAGACCCCAUGGAGCUUUACUGCAGCUUAAUAUUGGGAUUCGGUAUUGUAUGUACAGGAUAGGAGGGAGACUAAGAAGCUAGCACGCCAGUGUUGGUGGAGUCGAUGGUGGGAUACCUCUCUUAUAAUACUGAAUUUCUAACCUACUUCCGUGAUCCGGAAGAGGGACAUUGUUAGGCGGGCAGUUUGACUGGGGCGGUCGCCUCCGAAAGAGUAACGGAGGCGCUCAAAGGUCUUCUCAGAAUGAUUGGAAACCAUUCAAAGAGUGUAAAGGCAAAAGAAGGCUUGACUGCGAGAGUGACAACUCGAGCAGGUACGAAAGUAGGACUUAGUGAUCCGGUGGUAACAAGUGGGAGUGCCAUCGCUUAACGGAUAAAAGCUACCCUGGGGAUAACAGGCUUAUCU
RNAcentral lists this ribosomal RNA (1940 nucleotides) under human gut metagenome. Its description in RNAcentral is "bacterial LSU rRNA". It matches the Rfam family "Bacterial large subunit ribosomal RNA", at positions 522 to 2488 of the family's 2925-position model. The record is from RNAcentral.